This 959-nucleotide long non-coding RNA is filed under the name Volvox carteri. Its description in RNAcentral is "long non-coding RNA (VCAR_LNC003716)". The record is from RNAcentral. Lineage: Eukaryota; Viridiplantae; Chlorophyta; Chlorophyceae; Chlamydomonadales; Volvocaceae.
CCCCUACACCAAGCACUAUCCCUUCUGAGCUCUCAAGGCCACACUACUGGGCUAAAAGACUCGACCGAACCAACCCCGUCCCGGCCCGCCGGCUGUCCAGUCGCCCCUCAGCGGCCGUUUGCCACAAGCCUGCAGCUGGCAGAGCCUGGCGCGGAGGUGUCUGCGAUUGACCGGCGAAGAAGGGAAAGGGAAACUUGUCAAUCCACGAUUGAUUUCUUUUCAGAACUAGCCAGAGACACAAUGGAUUUCAAGCUAAAUUGCGUUCCCCAAUCCACUUCGAACUGUAUGAAUGCGAAUGAAUAAUCUUAUUAGGGACAAUAAUACGGCACGGGAGUUUCAUGCCCUCAAAGCGGGAACAAACGCUAGAACUGAAUACAUACAUAGUUCUAAAUCUUCUACUAAAAUUUUCCUGUAGCGUUAGAGGCCUUUAAUUCAUAUUGGCGAACGAUGCUUCCCGAGCUACCGGGAUACUGUAGGUUCAACAUGUACAUUUACAGAAAUGUACUAAAAUGAAUUCACGAAGUGCGCAGCAAAUAAGAUGAGUAGCCUAUAGGCCCAUGUCCAUAGUCCAGGGCAACGGAGGGGGUUACCCUGGGGCCGUGUUACCCCUCCUGCUGGGUAGGAACUUACAAGGGGGUUACCUAUGGGCUACGGGGGGUUGAAGGUGGGUAACCGAUGGGUAACCCAUGGGUUACCCACCCAAUCAGUGCCUUAGGGCUGCGCCUAUUGUCCGACGGCUGCGUGGGCUGCAUCCCAAAUCCACCCACAAUAUCAUCAUUGGCUUCCAUUGUGAUAUUCCUCUUAAGCAUCUUUAGAGAUUUGACCUAUGAGGUUAACCAUAGUUAGAGAGUAGGGUCGGGCUGGAGCCAACUAUAGCACAGCCAGAGACUCUUGAUCCUGAGUAAGGUAAUUAUUAGAAAGACGAUAACACUUGUUAGUUUGAUGCUGCAAUGAGUGGC